CCGGGAAAUGGGCGUGGUCUGGGCGGGGCUUGCGGAGCUCCGCCAUUGUUGCCGGCGUCUCUCUUUAUUUUUAUAAUUACUGUGUUUUUAUUCUAUUCCCCACGCAGUUUCCUCGGCAGCAGCUUUUACUCGCUCUCCAGACCCACCUCCUCUCUCCCACUGCAAUUUCCCUGAGUUUUUCCCUAGGUUUUCCUCAGGUAAUCCAUCUCUUUUCCUCUUUUCAGGUCACGCCUCUGCAGGGCCUGGGAUGAGGAGUCCAGCAGAGAAACACAGCGAGGGCUUUGCUCAAAUCAUCGUUCCUGCUCAUCUCUCAUCCCAAAUUCCUGCAUCCAUGGGGAUUUCCUGCAUGCACAGCGCUGGGAAUGCUUUCAGCUCAAAAGGUCCAGGUCUUUCCUGUGUUUGGGGAUCCAGAAUAUUCCAUAUAUUUGAGGUACUUUUUUAUCCAUCUGGGACAGAUGCAGGAUAUUGAUAUGGAAAGAUGGUGGAGGAAAAAAAUCCAUAAUUGCUCAAUGAGGAAAUCCUGGCCAGAGCUUUUAUUCCUUCUAGAAUCAUCUUUAUCCAUUAGAAUAAAAUGGUUUGGGGCUCAGCUGGGGGAAAUACUUGGUCUAAGGUAAAAAUCAGCUUCAGCAGGGGGGAAAGUUGCAUGUAAUUAUCAUUUCACAAUAAAAAAAUAUUUUAAAUUA
Molecule: long non-coding RNA, 683 nt
Organism: Parus major (Great Tit)
Lineage: Eukaryota; Metazoa; Chordata; Aves; Passeriformes; Paridae
Exons: 2
Source: RefSeq, a predicted model, not a curated record